Molecule: long non-coding RNA, 1954 nt
Filed under: Cucumis sativus (cucumber)
Lineage: Eukaryota; Viridiplantae; Streptophyta; Magnoliopsida; Cucurbitales; Cucurbitaceae
Description: long non-coding RNA (CSAT_LNC002570)
Source: RNAcentral
UGCACAACGGUUGCGCCAAAAACGGUCCAAAAAUGGCCAAGGCUUUACCAUACGAAAAAUCGGCCGAUUUUUAACCAUGUGAGAAACGUCCCGAAAAUUCACAGAUAACUACUAGGAGGCCUCACUCUGAGUAAUAUCAAAGUUUUUUCCCACAAGAACCGCUCGGAGAUGCCCGGACUCAGUUUUUAUUUUCGUCCCAAUACUUUUCUUCCAAUGGACUAGUUGUGUUUCUUUGAUCUUGUGCAACCUCUUUAGGCCGAUGAUAGCCCGCGGAUAGGUGUGGAAACCCAUCUAUAUUGCACCCAGUAUGACACAGAAAAAAGCCCAGGGCCUAGGGGUCGGGUGGGGCUCGUUCGGGGUGCACAACGGUUGCGCCAAAAACGGUCCAAAAAUGGCCAAGGCUUUACCAUACCGAAAAUCGGCCGAUUUUUAACCAUGUGAGAAACGUCCCGAAAAUUCACAGAUAACUACUAGGAGGCCUCACUCUGAGUAAUAUUAAAGUUUUUUCCCACAAGAACCGCUCGGAGAUGCCCAGACUCAGUUUUUAUUUUCGUCCCAAUGCUUUUCUUCCCAUGGACUAGUUUUGUUUCUUUGAUCUUGUGCAACCUAUUUAGGCCGAUGAUAGCCCGCGGAUAGGUGUGGAAACCCAUCUAUAUUGCACCCAGUAUGACACAGAAAAAAAGCCCAGGGCCUAGGGGUCGGGUGGGGCUCGUUCGGGGUGCACAACGGUUGCGCCAAAAACGGUCCAAAAAUGGCCAAGGCUUUACCAUACCGAAAAUCGGCCGAUUUUUAACCAUGUGAGAAACGUCCCGAAAAUUCACAGAUAACUACUAGGAGGCCUCACUCUGAGUAAUAUUAAAGUUUUCUCCCACAAGAACCGCUCGGAGAUGCCCAGACUCAGUUUUUAUUUUCGUCCCAAUACUUUUCUUCCCAUGGACUAGUUGUGUUUCUUUGAUCUUGUGCAACCUAUUUAGGCCGAUGAUAGCCCGCGGAUAGGUGUGGAAACCCAUCUAUAUUGCACCCAGUAUGACACAGAAAAAAAGCCCAGGGCCUAGGGGUCGGGUGGGGCUCGUUCGGGGUGCACAACGGUUGCGCCAAAAACGGUCCAAAAAUGGCCAAGGCUUUACCAUACGAAAAAUCGGCCGAUUUUUAACCAUGUGAGAAACGUCCCGAAAAUUCACAGAUAACUACUAGGAGGCCUCACUCUGAGUAAUAUCAAAGUUUUUCCCACAAGAACCGCUCGGAGAUGCCCGGACUCAGUUUUUAUUUUCGUCCCAAUACUUUUCUUCCAAUGGACUAGUUGUGUUUCUUUGAUCUUGUGCAACCUAUUUAGGCCGAUGAUAGCCCGCGGAUAGGUGUGGAAACCCAUCUAUAUUGCACCCAGUAUGACACAGAAAAAAAGCCCAGGGCCUAGGGGUCGGGUGGGGCUCGUUCGGGGUGCACAACGGUUGCGCCAAAAACGGUCCAAAAAUGGCCAAGGCUUUACCAUACCGAAAAUCGGCCGAUUUUUAACCAUGUGAGAAACGUCCCGAAAAUUCACAGAUAACUACUAGGAGGCCUCACUCUGAGUAAUAUUAAAGUUUUCUCCCACAAGAACCGCUCGGAGAUGCCCAGACUCAGUUUUUAUUUUCGUCCCAAUGCUUUUCUUCCCAUGGACUAGUUUUGUUUCUUUGAUCUUGUGCAACCUAUUUAGGCCGAUGAUAGCCCGCGGAUAGGUGUGGAAACCCAUCUAUAUUGCACCCAGUAUGACACAGAAAAAAGCCCAGGGCCUAGGGGUCGGGUGGGGCUCGUUCGGGGUGCACAACGGUUGCGCCAAAAACGGUCCAAAAAUGGCCAAGGCUUUACCAUACCGAAAAUCGGCCGAUUUUUAACCAUGUGAGAAACGUCCCGAAAAUUCACAGAUAACUACUAGGAGGCCUCACUCUGAGUAAUAUCAAAGUUUUUCCCACAAGAA